This is a long non-coding RNA of Thamnophis elegans (Western terrestrial garter snake), 1884 nucleotides long. RefSeq lists it as uncharacterized. The transcript is spliced from 2 exons. The record is from RefSeq and is a predicted model, not a curated record. Lineage: Eukaryota; Metazoa; Chordata; Lepidosauria; Squamata; Natricidae.
GGAGAGGAGGAGGAGAGCAGGCCUUGGGUAUGUUUGGUUGUUCUUAUGCAGCGUUGCGUUCGCCGCGUAACUUGCGUUUUGUUCCUAGCCUUUAGUCCGGCUAAGAAGCUACCCGGCUUCCUCCUCGUGAUUUCAUUGCGGCUUGGGAUGUUUCGGGUUCACAAUUAGAUACUUCUGCUCCCUAGAGGAGAGACUUACCAACGAAGUAAGGAAGUACAUAAAAAAAUUGUACAAUGUAAGAGCUUGUAGCUUUAAAAAGCUACAAAAACUCGAACGUAAAAGACAAUUCGUGGAGAGAAAUUUGGAGGAGGACCCAGACAGCCGCAAAAGUGGAAGCCACUGCCAGACGAGUUUGUCAAACUUUGUUAAAAAGAACAAAACAAAAAUGAAAUCGAAGAGCAGAGACCCUGGGCUCAGAAGGACAGGCAAUUCCUGCCCGGUAUGUAAUGCCGUCCUGGCUGGAAGGAUUUAUAAAACAUCAAGGAAUCCAGAACGAUGUUGCACCUGAGGUCCUGUAGAGCAAAACUCUGGAGGAAACAUUGAAUACAGAGGUCGUCUCAUCCACACAACACCUCCACUCCAGGGACUCAAGUGAAAGCAGUGCACAGUAGUAAGGAGGAUCAACCAGCGAUGUUGGAGGAUCAACCAGUGCAUCCAUAAAGCCACAAUCCCUCAGUCAAGAAAGAGGAAGAAAAAGAAGACGACGAUGGGAGGGGUCGAGAUACUGAACAGCAUUGUGACUAUGUUAGAACAGCUUCAAAUCUAUACUACAGGGAUGUCCCAGUUGAGCCUCAUCAACAGCAGGACUUAUAUAGCCCUUUCUGACUUUCCUAGACAGUGUCUGACAAGCGAACAAGCCAGACUCACUGAAAGACUGCAUGAUGCUUAAUAACUGCAGUGAUUUACUUAACAACCAUGGCAGAACAGAACAUAAAAUCUGGGGCAAAUCACUCAAGAGCCAUCUUUGUUAGCAACUGUAGGGUCUAGGAACAGAGCCAAUGCCCCUGCUCUAUGGUAUAUUCUACUCCCAGAGGUGAGGCAGGCCCCCACUCUCCUGGCCUUCUGAAAAGGAAUUAAAACAUGGCUCUGUGGCCUUGCUUGUGGAACGCAGAGGACCACACAACCUUGGGGCUGGCUGAUGCCUCGAGAAGCUUCCCUUCAACUUUUAACUAAUUUUAACAGCAUUUAUUUGUCCUCGCCUCUUUGUAAAUCUUUAAUUUUAAAACCUUAACUUUUAUAUACUGUUUUUAUGUUUUAAUGUUUUAUUGUACAACAGAUCAGGGUCCCUAUUUGUGGGAGAUGGGCAGUUCAAAAAUGUUCCAUCUGCAUGCUUCCUGAAACUAGCCCAUCUGUGCUAAUUUCAUUCUUGAAUCAAAAACCAGUGACAUACUGUAAAGAUUGCAGGAUUAAGACUCAUAGAUUGUACUGAAUUAAAAGAAAACAGGACUCUGUCCAAAAGUAAUAUCAAAUUUCUCAGAUACGGUAUUGAGACAGGAGGACAUUUAGGAUAUGGUAUCAUAGCCUAUAUUGCCAGUUGGGCUAGCUCACGGGUGUCAAACCCGAUUGUGUCACGUGAUAUAUUGCGAUGUAUCAUGAUGUAUUUUGCCUUUGCAGAGCCGGAGUGGGUGUGGCCUGCACAUGAUGCAUCUGUCUCACAGGCUGCCAGUUUGAUACUCCUGGGCUAGGUGAUCUUUCUAUUGUUCAAUUUCAGCUAGCAACUACUCCCUAUUGAUGUAAGGUGGGACUUUUUUCAUGGUAAUUGGCAGCCAAUUUGGUUUAAUGCCAACAAUUAAGGUUAGACUUUGGUAAAAUAUCUUGGUUCUUACAACAAUGCAAGCAUGUAAGUGUUCAGAGAAAAUAAACUUAUUUCAAAAGCUAAAGUUC